Molecule: non-coding RNA, 1147 nt
Organism: Candidatus Nomurabacteria bacterium
Lineage: Bacteria; Candidatus Nomuraibacteriota
Source: Rfam
ACUUAUCCCGGAGGUGGAGAAGCUUCCAAGGGUAUGGCUGUUCGCCAUUUAAAAAGUUACGCGAGCUGGGUAAGGAUUCAUGAGCCCAGCUGAAGACAUUCUACGAGGUUAAAUAAGAGAAGAAAAAUAAACUGACUCAUAACGGUGAAGUCCCAAUGCUUAUCAUGUUAAAAUGAUGGGUAAUGGAUGAUAUCGUGGGAAGAUUGCAAUCAAAAUUUUCCUCACAUCAGAUAGAUGUGAUUAUAGGGUCAUUGCUUGGUGAUGCUCGGCUUGAAUGCCGAUCGAAAGGAAUACGAGCAAGUUAUACCGCUCGGUUCCGAGUGCAUCAUGGAGAGAAACAGAAAGAUUAUGUGAUCUGGAAAUACCAAAUGCUCAAAGAUUCAUAGAUGUGGUUACUCCAUAUGUACCAGAAGUAAUGUCUUAUAAGAUUGUCAAUUCCCGUAUCGACUUGCUCUCUGCAAAGAGGGCAGAGCCCACGACUUUAGUCGGGGCUAACACGUCAGUUUCAGGAUAGGAAAAUCUUGAAAAAGGUAUAGUCAGUACCAUUAGUAAUAAUGGAAUAAAAACGUCAGACCGUUCAGAACACAAGAAAUUGUGAAUUGGACAGUCUGAAUCACUUCGAACACUUUUCGUCUACGAAUAGAGAAAGAUAGACCAACCAAUCACGGCGGUUUCUUGUAGAAAUACAAGAGUACAAAGCUGAUUAAUAUCGGUGAAAUCCUAACAAGGGCAACACCGAGGGAAUUCUAAAUUAUUUAGAAGCCCGUAGAGACUAAACAUCAGGUAUCUUCACUCGUAAGAGAAAGAUAAAGUUAUAGUCCGUUCCUCGCAGUAAUGCGAGAUAACAAGAAGCGUGAGACAGGUCGGACCCCUAUCUACUGCAGGCGUUCGAUUCUUGAGGGGAUUUGACUCUAGUACGAGAGGACCGAGUUGAACCGACCUCUGGUGUACCUGCUGUCCUGCCAAGGGCACCGCAGGGUAGCUAAGUCGGGCACGGAUAAAUUCUGAAAGCAUCUAAGAAUGAAGCCAACCCCAAGAUUAGGAAUCGUUUGAGAGCCCUAGGAGAUGACUAGGUUGAUAGGCGCUAGGUGUAAGCAUCGUAAGGUGUUGAGCCGAGGCGUACUAAUUGCUCGAAUCCUAUUAGGAA